This 504-nucleotide ribosomal RNA is filed under the name uncultured bacterium. RNAcentral describes it as "partial 16S ribosomal RNA". It matches the Rfam family "Bacterial small subunit ribosomal RNA", at positions 30 to 523 of the family's 1533-position model. The record is from RNAcentral.
AUUGAACGCUGGCGGCAGGCCUAACACAUGCAAGUCGGACGGUAGCACAGAGAGCUUGCUCUCGGGUGACGAGUGGCGGACGGGUGAGUAAUGUCUGGGGAUCUGCCCGAUAGAGGGGGAUAACCACUGGAAACGGUGGCUAAUACCGCAUAACGUCGCAAGACCAAAGCGGGGGACCUUCGGGCCUCUCACUAUCGGAUGAACCCAGAUGGGAUUAGCUAGUAGGCGGGGUAACGGCCCACCUAGGCGACGAUCCCUAGCUGGUCUGAGAGGAUGACCAGCCACACUGGAACUGAGACACGGUCCAGACUCCUACGGGAGGCAGCAGUGGGGAAUAUUGCACAAUGGGCGCAAGCCUGAUGCAGCCAUGCCGCGUGUAUGAAGAAGGCCUUCGGGUUGUAAAGUACUUUCAGCGGGGAGGAAGGCGAUAAGGUUAAUAACCUUGUCGAUUGACGUUACCCGCAGAAGAAGCACCGGCUAACUCCGUGCCAGCAGCCGCCGUAA